Pseudopodoces humilis (Tibetan ground-tit) is the source of this 165-nucleotide non-coding RNA. The record is from RefSeq and is a predicted model, not a curated record. NCBI's taxonomy places the organism in Eukaryota, Metazoa, Chordata, Aves, Passeriformes, Paridae.
AUUUUUUCCGCAUCCAAGCUCGGAAUUCCAAAGGUUCCGGUCCAAUCUCGGAUCCCAUUUUCUUCAGGACUGCCAAAGAAAUUCCAGAUAAAAUGCCCAACGACCAAGGUCGCCAUGGAGACGGAUCCUAUUGGCCCCUGGACAUCGAUCGCAGCAGCCUCAAUG